GUGGGGAAUCUUGCGCAAUGGGCGAAAGCCUGACGCAGCCAUGCCGCGUGAAUGAUGAAGGUCUUAGGAUUGUAAAAUUCUUUCACCGGGGACGAUAAUGACGGUACCCGGAGAAGAAGCUCCGGCUAACUUCGUGCCAGCAGCCGCGGUAAUACGAAGGGGGCUAGCGUUGCUCGGAAUUACUGGGCGUAAAGGGCGCGUAGGCGGACAGCUUAGUCAGAGGUGAAAGCCCAGGGCUCAACCUUGGAAUUGCCUUUGAUACUGGCUGUCUUGAGUUUGGGAGAGGUGAGUGGAACUCCGAGUGUAGAGGUGAAAUUCGUAGAUAUUCGGAAGAACACCAGUGGCGAAGGCGACUGACUGGACAAGUAUUGACGCUGAGGUGCGAAAGCGUGGGGAGCAAACAGGAUUAGAAACCCGAGUAGUCC
Molecule: ribosomal RNA, 425 nt
Filed under: uncultured bacterium
Lineage: Bacteria
Description: partial 16S ribosomal RNA
Rfam family: Bacterial small subunit ribosomal RNA
Source: RNAcentral